GAUGAACGCUAGCUACAGGCUUAACACAUGCAAGUCGAGGGGUAACGAGAGGAAAGCUUGCUUUCCUUGUCGACGACCGGCGCACGGGUGAGUAACGCGUAUCCAACCUGCCCCCAACUAGGGAAUAACCUUGCGAAAGUAAGACUAAUACCCUAUAAUUUCCUCAGAUGACAUCUGACGAGGAAUAAAGAUUUAUCGGUUGUGGAUGGGGAUGCGUCUGAUUAGCUUGUUGGCGGGGUAACGGCCCACCAAGGCAACGAUCAGUAGGGGUUCUGAGAGGAAGGUCCCCCACAUUGGAACUGAGACACGGUCCAAACUCCUACGGGAGGCAGCAGUGAGGAAUAUUGGUCAAUGGGCGGAAGCCUGAACCAGCCAAGUAGCGUGCAGGUUGACGGCCCUAUGGGUUGUAAACUGCUUUUAUACAGGAAUAAAGUUAGCCACGUGUGGUUAUUUGUAGGUACUGUAUGAAUAAGGACCGGCUAAUUCCGUGCCAGCCGCCGCAGUAA
This 506-nucleotide ribosomal RNA is filed under the name uncultured bacterium. RNAcentral's name for it is "partial 16S ribosomal RNA". It matches the Rfam family "Bacterial small subunit ribosomal RNA", at positions 28 to 523 of the family's 1533-position model. The record is from RNAcentral.